RNAcentral lists this ribosomal RNA (497 nucleotides) under uncultured bacterium. RNAcentral's name for it is "partial 16S ribosomal RNA". It matches the Rfam family "Bacterial small subunit ribosomal RNA", at positions 28 to 507 of the family's 1533-position model. The record is from RNAcentral.
GAUGAACGCUGGCGGCGUGCCUAAUACAUGCAAGUCGAGCGAACGGACGAGAAGCUUGCUUUUCUGAUGUUAGCGGCGGACGGGUGAGUAACACGUGGAUAACCUACCUAUAAGACUGGGAUAACUUCGGGAAACCGGAGCUAAUACCGGAUAAUAUUUUGAACCGCAUGGUUCAAAAGUGAAAGACGGUCUUGCUGUCACUUAUAGAUGGAUCCGCGCUGCAUUAGCUAGUUGGUAAGGUAACGGCUUACCAAGGCAACGAUGCAUAGCCGACCUGAGAGGGUGAUCGGCCACACUGGAACUGAGACACGGUCCAGACUCCUACGGGAGGCAGCAGUAGGGAAUCUUCCGCAAAGGGCGAAAGCCUGACGGAGCAACGCCGCGUGAGUGAUGAAGGUCUUCGGAUCGUAAAACUCUGUUAUUGGGGAAGAACAUAUGUGUAAGUAACUGUGCACAUCUUGACGGUAACUAAUCAGAAAGCCACGGCUAACUACGUG